AGUGAACGCUGGCGGUAGGCCUAACACAUGCAAGUCGAACGGCAGCACAGUAAGAGCUUGCUCUUACGGGUGGCGAGUGGCGGACGGGUGAGGAAUACAUCGGAAUCUACUUUUUCGUGGGGGAUAACGUAGGGAAACUUACGCUAAUACCGCAUACGACUUACGGGUGAAAGCAGGGGAUCUUCGGACCUUGCGCGAUUGAAUGAGCCGAUGUCGGAUUAGCUAGUUGGCGGGGUAAAGGCCCACCAAGGCGACGAUCCGUAGCUGGUCUGAGAGGAUGAUCAGCCACACUGGAACUGAGACACGGUCCAGACUCCUACGGGAGGCAGCAGUGGGGAAUAUUGGACAAUGGGCGCAAGCCUGAUCCAGCCAUACUGCGUGGGUGAAGAAGGCCUUCGGGUUGUAAAGCCCUUUUGUUGGGAAAGAAAAGCAGCAGGUUAAUACCCCGCUGUUCUGACGGUACCCAAAGAAUAAGCACCGGCUAACUUCGUG
Molecule: ribosomal RNA, 492 nt
Filed under: uncultured bacterium
Lineage: Bacteria
Description: partial 16S ribosomal RNA
Rfam family: Bacterial small subunit ribosomal RNA
Source: RNAcentral